ACGCUAGCGAUAGGCUUAACGCAUGCAAGUCGAGGGGCAGCACAAGAUAGCUUGCUAUCUGGGUGGCGACCGGCGCACGGGUGCGUAACGCGUAUGCAACUUGCCCUAUACAGGAGGAUAACCCGUCGAAAGACGGACUAAUACUGCGUAUGCUCACAACUUGGCAUCAAGUAGUGAGGAAAGAAAUUCGGUAUAGGAUAGGCAUGCGUCCCAUUAGCUUGUUGGUGAGGUAACGGCUCACCAAGGCGACGAUGGGUAGGGGAACUGAGAGGUUUAUCCCCCACACUGGUACUGAGACACGGACCAGACUCCUACGGGAGGCAGCAGUGAGGAAUAUUGGUCAAUGGGCGAGAGCCUGAACCAGCCAAGUCGCGUGAAGGAUGACUGUCUUAUGGAUUGUAAACUUCUUUUAUACGGGAAUAACAAGAGUCACGUGUGAGUCCCUGCAUGUACCGUAUGAAUAAGCAUCGGCUAACUCCGUGCCAGCAGCCGCGGUAAUACGGAGGAUGCGAGCGUUAUCCGGAUUUAUUGGGUUUAAAGGGUGCGUAGGCGGUUUGUUAAGUCAGCGGUGAAAUCUAGAGGCUCAACCUCGAAACUGCCGUUGAAACUGGCGAACUUGAGUGUAGAUGAGGUAGGCGGAAUUCGUGGUGUAGCGGUGAAAUGCAUAGAUAUCACGAGGAACUCCGAUUGCGAAGGCAGCUUACUAAGGUACAACUGACGCUGAAGCACGAAAGCGUGGGUAUCAAACAGGAUUAGAUACCCUGGUAGUCCACGCAGUAAACGAUGAUAACUGGGCGUAUGCGAUAUACAGUAUGCUCCUAAGCGAAAGCGUUAAGUUAUCCACCUGGGGAGUACGCCGGCAACGGUGAAACUCAAAGGAAUUGACGGGGGCCCGCACAAGCGGAG
This 906-nucleotide ribosomal RNA is filed under the name uncultured bacterium. RNAcentral describes it as "bacterial SSU rRNA". It matches the Rfam family "Bacterial small subunit ribosomal RNA", at positions 33 to 934 of the family's 1533-position model. The record is from RNAcentral.